This 382-nucleotide ribosomal RNA is filed under the name uncultured eukaryote. RNAcentral's name for it is "partial 18S ribosomal RNA". It matches the Rfam family "Eukaryotic small subunit ribosomal RNA", at positions 592 to 976 of the family's 1831-position model. The record is from RNAcentral.
UGUAAGCGUAUACCAAAGUUGUGGCAGUUAAAACGCUCGUAGUCGGAAUUUGGCAGUUCCGGAUGUGUGCACGUCGUGUGCGCACUUCGCGGGGAUUGCUUUUGUGGUCUUGCGUAGGAUGAGGCACUUUUAUUAGUGAACGUCCUCACGCAACCACUUUUUACUGUGAGAAAAUCAGAGUGCUCAAAGCAGGCAUUUGCCGUGAAUGUAUUAGCAUGGAAUAAUAGAAUAGGACUUGGUUCUAUUUUGUUGGUUUGUUGGGACUGAGUAAUGAUUAAGAGGGACAGUUGGGGGCAUUUGUAUUUCGGUGCUAGAGGUGAAAUUCUUAGAUUACCGAAAGACAAACUGCUGCGAAAGCGUCUGCCAAGGAUGUUUUCAUUGA